GGAGAUUCUUUAGUAGCUCAGUUGCAGAGGCGGACCCUCCGCCGGGUGCUCGAGCACCCAUUAAUUUCGUUACGGAAUAUAUAUAUAUCUACGUAGAAAUUAAUAUGUAUUUGUAUAAAAUUAACAUAGAACACCCAAUGAAUAAACGAUUUAGUUGGCCCAAUGGCUCCUGGAUGAAUACUUAGUUCGAAUCUCACUGUUAACACAUAUUUUUUAUAUUUUCAGUUUAAAUUUCUAGAUCCGCCACUGCUCAGUUGAUUGACUAUCUAAAGACAGCAAAAAUUCCUAGAUCUGUCGCUGCUCAGUUGAUUGAGUAUCUAAAUACAGCAAAUUCUUAGAUCCG
Molecule: unclassified non-coding RNA, 343 nt
Filed under: Hevea brasiliensis (rubber tree)
Lineage: Eukaryota; Viridiplantae; Streptophyta; Magnoliopsida; Malpighiales; Euphorbiaceae
Source: RNAcentral